GUCUACGGCCAUACCACCCUGAAUGCGACCAAUCUCAUCUCAUCUCAGAAGCUAAGCAUGGUCAGGCCUGUUUAGUACUGGGAUGGGAGAAAAUGAUUGAGCUCAAUGCU
RNAcentral lists this ribosomal RNA (110 nucleotides) under Octodon degus (degu). The record is from RNAcentral. Lineage: Eukaryota; Metazoa; Chordata; Mammalia; Rodentia; Octodontidae.